CACGUGCAGAGGGGGGGGCUGGGGGUGCUUGAGCACCUGCCCUUUUUGCUCCUUGCCCUAAAGUGCCCUUUUGGUCCAAUUUUUUUUUUUUUUUCUUUUUUUUAAAGUUAAUUUCCCAAGCCCUCCUCUGAUAUGUACUAAAAUUAUUAUUUUUUGUUGUUGUUGUUUUUAUUUAAAGAAAAACAACAUAAUAAGCCCUUCGGGUCACCUUAUUACCUUUGACCUUUUGUCCGUGACGCAUGACGCAGCUGCCUCCCGCUCAGUCAGUGAGACUGCGCAGUAGCUUACUGCGGAGCUCAACGUGGAGGAGGAAGGAAGGAAAAUUCAAAGAUGCCACGUUAAGAAAGACGGCAGAAACAAAAAAGAAAAGAAUUGAUAGAUGCAGCAAAAGGUGGUGGAUUGUUGACCGACUGGGUCAGAACGAGUACUGCAGUUCCACGUUAAAGUUUGAUGCAGCUCUGCUUUCCUGAAUCUUCAUUUCCAAUGUAAGUGCAGCAAACAGGCAGCUCUUUUUUUUUUUUAUAAAUUACAGUACACUAAAAGGUUGUAUUGUGCCCUUGUUUAUAUUUUUAAUAGUGUAAUUCUGUAAAGACAAAAUAUGUAAAUCGGAGCUAAACCAUCAGCUCUGAUUUACAUAUUUUGCUAAAUUGCGGGUUUGAAUAUUGCAAUACUUUCCUAUAACAAAAUAGACCUGCAGAAAGAAAUUACUAAUAAAAUAUCUAACAUA
Xiphophorus couchianus (Monterrey platyfish) is the source of this 727-nucleotide long non-coding RNA. RefSeq lists it as uncharacterized. The transcript has 3 exons. Lineage: Eukaryota; Metazoa; Chordata; Actinopteri; Cyprinodontiformes; Poeciliidae. The record is from RefSeq and is a predicted model, not a curated record.